Molecule: RNA transcript, 1806 nt
Organism: Phoenix dactylifera (date palm)
Lineage: Eukaryota; Viridiplantae; Streptophyta; Magnoliopsida; Arecales; Arecaceae
Gene name: Adenine nucleotide alpha hydrolases-like superfamily protein
Source: RefSeq, a predicted model, not a curated record
CAAAAUCUUAAAGAGUGCAGGGGUGCGGGCCGAGGGCCGGAAGAACCAAAAAGAAAGAGGGGGUAGAUGGCGUUGUGCGGCGGCGGCGGGUGCCAGUCCUCCUGCCGGAGGCCGGAAGAAGACGACGGCGCGGCGGAGGAGGCCCGAGAGAGGCUCGACAGUCUCCACGUCGCCGGCGAGCGCUCCUCCAUCGCCGGAACCGGGGACCGGGCGCGGUGCUCCAAGUGCGGAGAGGAGGGCCGGUACUGCAACAGCCUGUGCGCGGCCUGCUUCCGGGUCUCGGUUUAUAACAAGUUCAAGCUCGCUGUCACAUCCAACGCCAUGAUUUCCCCCACCGAUAACAUCCUCGUCGCCUUCUCCGGCGGCCACGCCUCCAGAGUAGCCCUGCAAUUUGUUCAUGAGAUGCAAGGCAAAUCAUUGAAGAACUGGGAUGCAAGUAAAUCUCAAGCUCUACCAGUUUUUGGUGUUGGGGUUGCCUUUAUCGAUGAAAGCAUUUUUUCUCACAACCCAUCAGAUGAGACAGAAAAGGCAAUUGAAGAGAUUAGAUCAGUUGUGUCAAAUUUAACUCCUCCACAUAAAGAAUUGCAUAUUAUACCUAUUGAAAACAUCUGUUCUCUGAGUUCUGAGAAUGGGAGGAGCAGACUGAAUGAAUUACUGGAAAUGAUCACUGAUGCCACCGGAAAAGAUGAUUUUCUGCAUUCUUUACGAAUGCUUUCCUUACAAAAGAUUGCUUUCGAUAAAGGGUAUAGCAAAAUAUUGUUAGGAUCGUGCACGUCAACAAUAGCACGCCAUGUAUUAUCCGCAACAGUGAAGGGUCAAGGUUAUUCUUUACCUGCUGAUGUGCAGUAUGUUGAAGCAAGGCGGGAAGUCCCAGUGGUUCUUCCUCUUCGUGAUUGUCUUGCACAAGAGCUCAGCAUGCUCUGUCGUCUUGAUGGUUUCAAGACACAGCAGCUUCUUGAGAGGCCUUGUACUGGCAUCAACAGUUUGGUUUCAUCAUUUGUUGCACGUUUACAGGUUAAUUUUGCAGGAAGAAAACCCUUCUCGAGAACGCACUAUAGUAAGAACAGUGGAAAAGCUUAGACCCUUUGGUUUUAAUAAAUUCAGUGAAAAUGGUUAUCAUGAUUUCCUGCCAUCCCGACUGCGUUGCAAGUUUCAGAAUGUCAAAAAUGGUGAAUCUUCUCUCUCUGAUGUUCUUUGUCCAAUAUGCGAAGGCCCACUUAGUGAAUCAGAAAUCCAAUGUUUGGAAAGCAUUCAGAGCAAGGCUGGAAGAAAAGUUGAAAUUUUUGCUGCCCAGUGUUGCAAAAGCUGUAAUUUUCAGAUCUUGCCAAAAGGAGCAGCCUCUCUUGAGCAUUUCUAUUCAGUUCUACCCCAGUUGAUGACACAGAGAAUGAAGGAUAGCUUGGGUUUUGACCGAAGCCAGCAAAGGGAACAAAUAGAGGAUUUCCUGCUUGCUGAUGAUGAUGAUGGAACCUGAACUUCAUUUGCUUGAUUGAACAGGAAGAAAUCGAUCAGAUUGUGGUUGUUUGCUCCAUCUCUGAAUCAUGUUGCAAACUCAGCUGCUCGGUGCAAGCUGCAUUCUUAUUUUUGGUUCGAUCGACAAAUCUUCAGCUAUAUAUAGUGCCCAUGGGUGCUGGUGCUAUGACUACAUAAAUACGUAAUUGCUGCUUUCCCAGUGAUGCUGUGGGUUGCAUUUAAUUUCAUGCCUCGAUUGAAUGUCCUAGUUUUAAAACAUUCUAGCAUGAGUUUUAUUUUUCAUAAACUUGAGAUCUAUGAGAAUCUAAUAUUUUGUUGCAUAAGUUUUGAAGU